Molecule: ribosomal RNA, 377 nt
Filed under: uncultured eukaryote
Lineage: Eukaryota
Description: partial 18S ribosomal RNA
Rfam family: Eukaryotic small subunit ribosomal RNA
Source: RNAcentral
CAAUAGCGUAUAUUAAAGUUGUUGCAGUUAAAAAGCUCGUAGUUGGAUUUCGGGGUGGCCUGCCUGGUCCACCGCAAGGUGAGUACUGGUCAGCCGCCCUUCCUCUCGAAAGCCCCGACUGCUCUUCAUUGCAGUGGUCGGGUAUUUCGGGACGUUUACUUUGAAAAAAUUAGAGUGUUCAAGACAGGCUAUCGCCUGAAUACAUUAGCAUGGAAUAAUGGAAGAGGACCUCGGUCCUAUUUUGUUGGUUUCUAGGGCCGAAGUAAUGAUUAAGAGGGACAGUUGGGGGCAUUCGUAUUUAAUUGUCAGAGGUGAAAUUCUUGGAUUUAUGAAAGACGAACUAGUGCGAAAGCAUUUGCCAAGGAUGUUUUCAUUAA